CAAGUGCCCUGCUACACUAAGAGGACUUGCGCGAGGCACUAUUUGUGUCGAGUGAUGUGUGAGCAUGCGUAUAGGGACACACGCCCAGGUGCCCACAAUGUCGAGGCAAGCGCCCCACUAGCAAGCUACUACUCAACAACCUCUGUGAGGCACGGGGACUGCCAGGCAUGCACACGCUAAGAGUGUCAUGGGCCAAGGCACCUUGUAUCGCUAGUGCGAGCUUAUGGGAUUUUAUUCCCCUACUGCGAGUUCAAGGAAAAAUUUCCCAAAAGCAUAAAAAAGAAUUGAUCUGU
Molecule: long non-coding RNA, 293 nt
Filed under: Carica papaya (papaya)
Lineage: Eukaryota; Viridiplantae; Streptophyta; Magnoliopsida; Brassicales; Caricaceae
Description: long non-coding RNA (CPAP_LNC008925)
Source: RNAcentral